AGAGUUUGAUCAUGGCUCAGGAUGAACGCUGGCGGUCUGCUUAACACAUGCAAGUCGAACGGAGUAGAAAUACUUAGUGGCGGACGGGUGAGUAACGCGUGAGAAUCUGCCAAAAGGACUGGGACAACCACUGGAAACGGUGGCUAAUACCGGAUGAGCCGCAACGUAAAAGAGGAAACUCGCCUUUUGAGGAGCUCGCGUCUGAUUAGCUAGUUGGUGAGGUAAGAGCUCACCAAGGCAUCGAUCAGUAGCUGGUCUGAGAGGAUGAUCAGCCACACUGGGACUGAGACACGGCCCAGACUCCUACGGGAGGCAGCAGUGGGGAAUUUUCCGCAAUGGGCGAAAGCCUGACGGAGCAAGACCGCGUGAGGGAGGAAGGCUCUUGGGUUGUAAACCUCUUUUGUCAGGGAAGAACACAAUGACGGUACCUGAAGAAUCAGCAUCGGCUAACUCCGUGCCAGCAGCCGCGGUAAUACGGGGGAUGCAAGCGUUAUCCGGAAUUAUUGGGCGUAAAGCGUCCGCAGGUGGCUAAUCAAGUCUGCUGUCAAAGGUUGGGGCUUAACUUCGGAAAGGCAGUGGAAACUGAACAGCUAGAGUAUGGUAGGGGCAGAGGGAAUUCCUGGUGUAGCGGUGAAAUGCGUAGAGAUCAGGAAGAACAUCGGUGGCGAAGGCGCUCUGCUGGACCAUAACUGACACUCAGGGACGAAAGCUAGGGGAGCGAAUGGGAUUAGAUACCCCCGUAGUCC
RNAcentral lists this ribosomal RNA (746 nucleotides) under uncultured cyanobacterium. RNAcentral's name for it is "bacterial SSU rRNA". It matches the Rfam family "Bacterial small subunit ribosomal RNA", at positions 8 to 796 of the family's 1533-position model. The record is from RNAcentral. Lineage: Bacteria; Bacillati; Cyanobacteriota.